GGUUAAGUGACUAAGCGUACACGGUGGAUGCCUUGGCAGUCAGAGGCGAUGAAAGACGUAGUAACUUGCGAUAAGCCCAGAUUAGGUAGUAACAACCAUUUGAGUCUGGGAUUUCUGAAUGGGGAAACCCACUUACAUAAGUAAGUAUCAUUAACUGAAUACAUAGGUUAAUGAGGCGAACCGGGGGAACUGAAACAUCUAAGUACCCCGAGGAAAAGAAAUCAACCGAGAUUCCGAAAGUAGCGGCGAGCGAAAUUGGACUAGCCCUUAAGCUUUACACGCGUUAGACGAACGGUCUGGAAAGUCCGACGAUACAGGGUGAUAGUCCCGUAGUUGACGACGUGUGUUCAGUGAAAUCGAGUAGGGCGGGACACGUGAUAUCCUGUCUGAAUAUGGGGGGACCAUCCUCCAAGGCUAAAUACUACUGACUGACCGAUAGUGAACCAGUACCGUGAGGGAAAGGCGAAGAACCCCUGUGAGGGGAGUGAAAUAGAACCUGAAACCGUGUACGUACAAGCAGUAGGAGCAGGCUUUGUCCUGUGACUGCGUACCUUUUGUAUAAUGGGUCAGCGACUUAUAUUCAGUGGCAAGGUUAACCAUCUAGGGGAGCCGUAGGGAAACCGAGUCUUAACUGGGCGUUCAGUCUCUGGAUAUAGACCCGAAACCAGGUGAUCUAGCCAUGGGCAGGUUGAAGGUUGAGUAACAUCAACUGGAGGACCGAACCGACUAAUGUUGAAAAAUUAGCGGAUGACUUGUGGCUAGGGGUGAAAGGCCAAUCAAACCUGGAGAUAGCUGGUUCUCCCCGAAAGCUAUUUAGGUAGCGCCUCGGACGAAUACUACUGGGGGUAGAGCACUGUUAAGGCUAGGGGGUCAUCCCGACUUACCAACCCUUUGCAAACUCCGAAUACCAGUAAGUACUAUCCGGGAGACACACGGCGGGUGCUAACGUCCGUCGUGGAGAGGGAAACAACCCAGACCGCCAGCUAAGGUCCCAAAUUACUACUAAGUGGGAAACGAUGUGGGAAGGCUCAGACAGCCAGGAUGUUGGCUUAGAAGCAGCCAUCAUUUAAAGAAAGCGUAAUAGCUCACUGGUCGAGUCGGCCUGCGCGGAAGAUGUAACGGGGCUAAGUAGUAAACCGAAGCUGCGGCAAUAUACUUUUGUAUAUUGGGUAGGGGAGCGUUCUGUAAGCGGUUGAAGGUGUGUGGUAACGCAUGCUGGACGUAUCAGAAGUGCGAAUGCUGACAUGAGUAACGAUAAAGGGGGUGAAAAACCUCCUCGCCGGAAGACCAAGGGUUCCUGUCCAACGUUAAUCGGGGCAGGGUAAGUCGACCCCUAAGGCGAGGCCGAAAGGCGUAGUCGAUGGGAAACGGGUUAAUAUUCCCGUACUUCUUACAAUUGCGAUGGGGGGACGGAGAAGGCUAGGUGGGCCUGGCGACGGUUGUCCAGGUUCAAGUGCGUAGGCUUAAGAGUUAGGUAAAUCCGGCUCUUUUUAAGGCUGAGACACGACGUCGAGCACCUACGGGUGUGAAGUCAUUGAUGCCAUGCUUCCAGGAAAAGCCUCUAAGCUUCAGAUUGUAAGGAAUCGUACCCCAAACCGACACAGGUGGUCGGGUAGAGAAUACCAAGGCGCUUGAGAGAACUCGGGUGAAGGAACUAGGCAAAAUGGUACCGUAACUUCGGGAGAAGGUACGCUCUCGACGGUGAAGUCCCUCGCGGAUGGAGCUAUUGAGAGUCGCAGAUACCAGGUGGCUGCAACUGUUUAUUAAAAACACAGCACUGUGCAAAAUCGUAAGAUGACGUAUACGGUGUGACGCCUGCCCGGUGCCGGAAGGUUAAUUGAUGGGGUUAGACUUCGGUCGAAGCUCUUGAUCGAAGCCCCGGUAAACGGCGGCCGUAACUAUAACGGUCCUAAGGUAGCGAAAUUCCUUGUCGGGUAAGUUCCGACCUGCACGAAUGGCGUAAUGAUGGCCACGCUGUCUCCACCCGAGACUCAGUGAAAUUGAAAUCGCUGUGAAGAUGCAGUGUACCCGCGGCUAGACGGAAAGACCCCGUGAACCUUUACUACAGCUUGGCACUGAACAUUGACCCUACAUGUGUAGGAUAGGUGGGAGGCUUUGAAGCAGGUACGCCAGUAUCUGUGGAGCCGUCCUUGAAAUACCACCCUUGUAGUGUUGAUGUUCUAACGUCGACCCCUUAUCGGGGUUGCGGACAGUGCCUGGUGGGUAGUUUGACUGGGGCGGUCUCCUCCCAAAGAGUAACGGAGGAGCACGAAGGUGGGCUAAUCACGGUUGGACAUCGUGAGGUUAGUGCAAUGGCAUAAGCCCGCUUGACUGCGAGAAUGACAAUUCGAGCAGGUGCGAAAGCAGGUCAUAGUGAUCCGGUGGUUCUGAAUGGAAGGGCCAUCGCUCAACGGAUAAAAGGUACUCCGGGGAUAACAGGCUGAUACCGCCCAAGAGUUCAUAUCGACGGCGGUGUUUGGCACCUCGAUGUCGGCUCAUCACAUCCUGGGGCUGAAGUCGGUCCCAAGGGUAUGGCUGUUCGCCAUUUAAAGUGGUACGCGAGCUGGGUUUAGAACGUCGUGAGACAGUUCGGUCCCUAUCUGCCGUGGGCGUUGGAAGAUUGAAGGGGGCUGCUCCUAGUACGAGAGGACCGGAGUGGACGAACCUCUGGUGUUCGGGUUGUGUCGCCAGACGCAUUGCCCGGUAGCUAAGUUCGGAAUCGAUAACCGCUGAAAGCAUCUAAGCGGGAAGCGAGCCCUGAGAUGAGUCUUCCCUGAUACUUUAAGUAUCCUAAAGGGUUGUCGGAGACUACGACGUUGAUAGGUCAGGUGUGUAAGUGCUGUGAGGCAUUGAGCUAACUGAUACUAAUUGCCCGUGAGGCUUAACCAU
Molecule: ribosomal RNA, 2889 nt
Filed under: Vibrio parahaemolyticus
Lineage: Bacteria; Pseudomonadati; Pseudomonadota; Gammaproteobacteria; Vibrionales; Vibrionaceae
Description: 23S ribosomal RNA
Rfam family: Bacterial large subunit ribosomal RNA
Source: RNAcentral